AGUCAUAUUGGCUGUCUCAAAGAUUAAGCCAUGCAUGUGUAAGUAUAAGCAACUUUAUAGUGAAACUGCGAAUGGCUCAUUAAAUCAGUUAUCGUUUAUUUGAUGGUACCUUACUACUUGGAUAACCGUGGUAAUUCUAGAGCUAAUACAUGCUAAAAAUCUCGACUUAAGAAGAGAUGUAUUUAUUAGAUAUCAAACCAAUACCUCUUUAGAGGUCUAUGGUGAUUCAUAAUAACUUUUCGCAGCGCAUGGCAUUAUGCUAGCGCGAGAUCAUUCAAAUACCUGCCCUAUCAAGUUUAGAUGUGAGGGUAGUGUCCUCACAUGCUUUUGACGGGUAACGGGGAAUUAGGGUUCGACUCCGGAGAGGGAGCCUGAGAAACGGCUACCACAUCCAAGGAAGGCAGCAGGCGCGCAAAUUACCCAAUCCCAACAUGGGGAGGUAGUGACAAGAAAUACUGAUACAGGGUUCUUAAGGAUCUUGUGAUUGGAAUGAGUACAAUUUAAACCCAUUAACGAGGAACCACUAGAGGGCAAGUCUGGUGCCAGCAGCCGCGGUAAUUCCAGCUCUAGUAGCAUACAUUAAAAUUGUUGCAGUUAAAACGCCCGUAGUUGAAAUUUGGGCUUGGUCAACUGGUCCGCCUCACCGCGUGCACUAGUAUGAUUGGGUCUUUCUUUCCAAAUAUCUAUUGCUAAUUUAUUGGCUUUAGAUUUAUUUGGAACGUUUACUUUGAAAAAAUUAGAGUGUUCAAAGCAGGCUUUUGUUCGGAUACUUCAGCAUGGAAUAAUAAAAUAUGACGAGUGGUUGUAUUUUGUUGGUUUGUAUAACCGCCGUAAUGAUUGAUAGGGAUGGUCGGGGGCAUCGGUAUUCAUUCGUCAGAGGUGAAAUUCUUGGAUUGAAUGAAGACCAACUGCUGCGAAAGCAUUUGCCAUGGAUGUUUUCAUUAAUCAAGGACGAAAGUUAGGUGAGCGAAAACGAUCAGAUACCGUUGUAGUCUUAACUAUAAACUAUGCCGACUAGGGAUCAGGUAGUGUCUUCUUUAUAUGACCUACUUGGCACCUUGUGAGAAAUCAAAGUUUCUGGGUUCU
RNAcentral lists this ribosomal RNA (1086 nucleotides) under Monoicomyces nigrescens. RNAcentral describes it as "SSU rRNA". It matches the Rfam family "Eukaryotic small subunit ribosomal RNA", at positions 21 to 1115 of the family's 1831-position model. Lineage: Eukaryota; Fungi; Ascomycota; Laboulbeniomycetes; Laboulbeniales; Laboulbeniaceae. The record is from RNAcentral.